UAAAUAGAAGAAGUCCCAAAUCCAAAAAGACGGUAAAAUAGGUGUAUGGAGGUGAAAACUGAGGGUGCAAGAAGGAAGCCAAAAGAGCACGGUCUAGGCAUCAUCACCCCUUUCUUCUUCAUCAUCGAGGGUAGCCAUAUUCCUCCACUGGAGCUUCUUUCUCCUCUAAUUCUUUGCACCAAUAUCACCGUUUGUCACCAUGCUCGCGCCCGAAGAUGGCACCACCGCCGCCGGAUGUCAGCCAUAUGCUUGCGCCUCACUGUCACGCCGAGCUAGUUGCCAGGGAAACCAUUCCAUUUUUUUUCUACUAGGCCCCAAAUUGGGAUCCACGCAUCCACCGAAGACGACAAUACGCCGCAGAGGCUUCCACCGCAACCACGCCACUCUUCCUCCUUAUCACCGACAUUUUUCGCCCUACAACAUCACUGUCAUUGUGGCAAUUAGAGAUGGAAGAUGGCGCGUGAGGAUGUAUAUGAUGGUGAGUGCAAUUUUCUGAUUUGUUCAUUGAUGGUCAGUAAGUUUUUCUUAUUUGUUAUUUUUCUGUUAUGGGAUUUUGUAUUAUAUAUUUGGACAAGUUUUUAAUA
Molecule: long non-coding RNA, 584 nt
Organism: Vigna unguiculata (cowpea)
Lineage: Eukaryota; Viridiplantae; Streptophyta; Magnoliopsida; Fabales; Fabaceae
Source: RefSeq, a predicted model, not a curated record